UUGAGCCGUAUGACGGGAAACUGUCACGUACGGUUCUGAGGGGGGAAAGAGGCCGUAAGGCCUCUUUUCUACCCGAU
Non-coding RNA from Desulfobacula toluolica Tol2, 77 nucleotides. NCBI's taxonomy places the organism in Bacteria, Pseudomonadati, Thermodesulfobacteriota, Desulfobacteria, Desulfobacterales, Desulfobacteraceae. The record is from Rfam.